AGGACGGGCUGAGGGAUCGCCGCCGGGGAUCCGCCGGAUUCGCCGCGCGGAGGAAAGUCCGAGCUCCACAGGGCGGGAUGCCGGGUAACGCCCGGGCACCGCGAGGUGACGGAAAGUGCAGCAGAGAGCAGACCGCCGAUGGCCCCGGCAGCGGGGCACAGGCAAGGGUGAAAGGGUGUGGUAAGAGCACACCGGGCCGCUGGCAACAGGGGUCGCAUGGCAAACCCCAUCCGGAGCAAGGCCGAAUAGGGGACUCUGGGACGGCCCGUCCCGUUCGAGUCCCGGGUAGGCCGCUCGAGGCCCGGAGCGAUCCGGGUCCCAGACAGAUGAUCCCGCCCGCCUCCCGAGGCGGGACACAGAACUCGGCUUAUGACGCCCGUCCUCCUG
This 387-nucleotide RNase P RNA is filed under the name Gemmatimonadota bacterium. RNAcentral describes it as "Gemmatimonadetes bacterium RNase P RNA component class A". It matches the Rfam family "Bacterial RNase P class A". From Rfam's summary of the family: Ribonuclease P (RNase P) is a ubiquitous endoribonuclease, found in archaea, bacteria and eukarya as well as chloroplasts and mitochondria. The record is from RNAcentral. Lineage: Bacteria; Pseudomonadati; Gemmatimonadota.